RNAcentral lists this ribosomal RNA (455 nucleotides) under uncultured Sphingobacteriales bacterium. Its description in RNAcentral is "bacterial SSU rRNA". It matches the Rfam family "Bacterial small subunit ribosomal RNA", at positions 925 to 1382 of the family's 1533-position model. Lineage: Bacteria; Pseudomonadati; Bacteroidota; Sphingobacteriia; Sphingobacteriales. The record is from RNAcentral.
ACAAGCGGAGGAGCAUGUGGUUAAUUCGAUGAUACGCGAGGAACCUUACCUGGGCUCGAACGUAAGAUGACUGUAGGUGAAAGCUUACAUCUCUUCGGAGCAUUUUACGAGGUGCUGCAUGGUUGUCGUCAGCUCGUGCCGUGAGGUGUCGGGUUAAGUCCCAUAACGAGCGCAACCCCUACCUUUAGUUGCCAUCAGGUUAAGCUGGGGACUCUAAAGGAACUGCCUACGCAAGUAGUGAGGAAGCGGGGAUGACGUCAAAUCAGCACGGCCCUUACGUCCAGGGCUACACACGUGCUACAAUGGCCGAUACAGAGGGCAGCUACCUGGUGACAGGAUGCAAAUCUCCAAAGUCGGUCUCAGUUCGGAUCGGAGUCUGCAACCCGACUCCGUGAAGUUGGAUUCGCUAGUAAUCGCGCAUCAGCCAUGGCGCGGUGAAUACGUUCCCGGGCCUU